GAUGAACGCUGGCGGCGUGCUUAACACAUGCAAGUCGAACGAUGAAGCCCAGCUUGCUGGGUGGAUUAGUGGCGAACGGGUGAGUAACACGUGAGUAACCUGCCCUUAACUCUGGGAUAAGCCUGGGAAACUGGGUCUAAUACCGGAUAGGAGCGUCCACCGCAUGGUGGGUGUUGGAAAGAUUUAUCGGUUUUGGAUGGACUCGCGGCCUAUCAGCUUGUUGGUGAGGUAAUGGCUCACCAAGGCGACGACGGGUAGCCGGCCUGAGAGGGUGACCGGCGAGAGUGGGAAUGAGUGGAGGACCGGAGCCAUGGGGGUGGCGGAAGGGGGGGAGAGGGAGGAAUGGGUGCGAGUUGGAAGCAGCGACGAGGCGGGAGGGAGAGAGGCCUACGGGAUGUAAAGCGCAAUCAGUGGGUAAGUAGGGAACGGGAGGGGAGGUAAAAGAGCAGCAAUCGCGCGCUAGAGC
Molecule: ribosomal RNA, 466 nt
Filed under: uncultured bacterium
Lineage: Bacteria
Description: partial 16S ribosomal RNA
Rfam family: Bacterial small subunit ribosomal RNA (bases 20-327)
Source: RNAcentral